GCGAGAAGUCCACUGAACCUUAUCAUUUAGAGGAAGGAGAAGUCGUAACAAGGUUUCCGUAGGUGAACCUGCGGAAGGAUCAUUGUCGAAUCCUGCAAAGCAGAACGACCAGAGAA
Molecule: ribosomal RNA, 116 nt
Filed under: Myrtus communis
Lineage: Eukaryota; Viridiplantae; Streptophyta; Magnoliopsida; Myrtales; Myrtaceae
Description: partial 18S ribosomal RNA
Rfam family: Eukaryotic small subunit ribosomal RNA (bases 1-85)
Source: RNAcentral